CUCAUGAAUUUAAUAGCCGCAAUUAGUGCUAAGGUAGCAUAAUAAUUUGUCUUCUAAUUAAAGACUUGAACAAAAGAUUUAACACUUUUACUUAUUUAUUUAUAUUAAAAAUUAAAAUUUUUAUUAAAAUUAAAAAAUUUUAAUAAAAUAAAAAGACGACAAGACCCUAUUGAACUUAACUUAAGUUUAACUGGGGUAGUUAAUUAAUUAUAAUUUUAAUAUUUAAAUAUUUAAAUAAAUAUCCAUUUAUAUGAAUUAUCCAGUUACCAUAGGGAUAACAGCGCAAUUAAAUUUUAAAGAUCAUAUAAAAAAUUUAGAUUACGACCUCGAUGUUGAAUUAACAUUCUAUUUAAAGCAAAUUUUAAAUAAGAAAGUCUGUUCGACUUUUAAAAAGUUACAUGAUUUGAGUUCAGACCGGUAUAAGCCAGGUCGGUUUCUAUCUUUUUAAAAAUAUUUACAGUACGAAAGGACCUAAAAAUUUAAUAUCAUUAUUUAUAUGGCAGAACAAUGCAUUAGAAUUAGAAUCUAAUAAAAUAAAA
This 539-nucleotide ribosomal RNA is filed under the name Junxattus daiqini. RNAcentral describes it as "partial 16S ribosomal RNA". The stretch from base 150 to 445 matches the Rfam family "Bacterial large subunit ribosomal RNA", at positions 2074 to 2646 of the family's 2925-position model. The record is from RNAcentral. Lineage: Eukaryota; Metazoa; Arthropoda; Arachnida; Araneae; Salticidae.